This 953-nucleotide ribosomal RNA is filed under the name Nitrospira sp. RNAcentral's name for it is "partial 23S ribosomal RNA". It matches the Rfam family "Bacterial large subunit ribosomal RNA", at positions 1 to 973 of the family's 2925-position model. The record is from RNAcentral. Lineage: Bacteria; Pseudomonadati; Nitrospirota; Nitrospiria; Nitrospirales; Nitrospiraceae.
GGUCAAGCUACUAAGGGCAUACGGUGAAUGCCUUGGCACUUUGAGGCGAUGAAGGACGUGGAAAGCUGCGAUAAGCGACGGUGAGGAGCACUCAUCCAUUGAACCGUCGAUUUCCGAAUGGGGGAACCCUUUUAACUGCUGUCUGAAUUCAUAGGACAGUAAGAGCCAACCUAGGGAAGUGAACCAUCUCAGUACCUCGAGGAAAAGAAAACAACAGUGAUUCCGUGAGUAGCGGCGAGCGAAAGCGGAACAGCCUAAACCGAUGGGGCUUGCUCCAUCGGGGUCGUGGGACCAGACAUAACGUCGGAAUAGGUUAGCGGAAAUGUGUGGAAAAGCAUACCGUAGCGCGUGAUAGUCGCGUACGCGAAAACCGAAAACCGACAGUUUGGCACCCGAGUAAUGCGGGACACGAGAAAUCCUGCAUGAAUUUGCCGGGACCAUCCGGUAAGGCUAAAUACUCCGAAGUGACCGAUAGUGAACCAGUACCGUGAGGGAAAGGUGAAAAGAACCCCGGUGAGGGGAGUGAAAUAGUACCUGAAACCGUUUGCUUACAAGCAGUCGGAGCGCCUUCGGGCGUGACGGCGUGCCUUUUGCAUAAUGAGCCGGCUAGUAGAUGUCACAGGCAAGGUUAAACGAUAAGUGAGCCGAAGCGAAAGCGAGUCUGAAUAGGGCGAUAAGUCUGUGGUAUCUGGACGUGAAACGGGAUGAUCUAGGCAUGGGCAGGAUGAAGCGUGGGUAACACCACGUGGAGGUCCGAACCAGUAUGGGUUGAAAACCGUUUGGAUGACCUGUGCCUAGGGGUGAAAGGCCAAUCAAAUUCCGUGAUAGCUCGUUCUCGCCGAAAUAUCUUUAGGGAUAGCCUCGGAUGUAUCAUCGUGGUGGUAAAGCACUGACUGGGCUAGGGGCCUCACAAGGUUACCGAACUCAAUCAAACUCUGAAUGCCAUGAAUGUC